This 172-nucleotide ribosomal RNA is filed under the name Scarus ghobban (blue-barred parrotfish). RNAcentral describes it as "partial 12S ribosomal RNA". The record is from RNAcentral. Lineage: Eukaryota; Metazoa; Chordata; Actinopteri; Labriformes; Labridae.
CACCGCGGUUAUACGAAAGGCCCAAGUUGAAAAACAUUCGGCGUAAAGGGUGGCUAAGGGCCUAUUUUAAACUAGAGCUGAAUUUCUUCAAAGCUGUUAUACGCUCAUGAAAACUAGAAAAUCAACCACGAAAGUGGCUCUAAUCUCUCCUGACACCACGAAAGCUAUGACA